AUUUAUUAUAAUUCUUUUGAAGAAACGCACUGGAGAUGAAAAAUGUUUUAUUUAGAACGAUUCACAAUUUUUCCAUAUUUUAAAUAUUAACAACGUUCGUAUUUUCGAUUUCAUAUCUUUUUUCAACAGAAGCCAAUCGUAUGCAAGAGCGACGCGUUAAGCUGAAAUAACAAUUUCAAUAUUUUCUAUCUGGUUCGAGUUUUCAGUUGCAAUUUAACUAAGCCCUUUCGCAUCUUUCAGCAUUUUCUCGAAAGUAUCGCGACGUGAAAAAAAGCAUAGAGUGCUUUCUUUAAUCUCGAAGCGUAUCCUGCGGCAAAUCGAUUGGAAAAAAAAGGAGAAAAAAGAAAGAAAGAAAGGAAGGAAGAAAGAAAGAAGGGAAUCAUCGAUUCAUUCGUAACUGGUAAAGUGCUUGAAAGUGGAAAAUCGGUCAUAUCCCCGCGGACAAAUCGAUAAUAUCUGAUAUCAUAAUUAAUGUAAUGUAUCUGUGGUAAUAGGAACAUGAUGACGGUGAAUGCAGAUACGUACAGUUUCCUUUAUGUGCAAACAUUGCGUAAAUUGAUAAGGCAAUUAGCACGUAUAGUCUAUAGAAGCAACGUUGGUUGCGUCGUUGACACGAUCUCUCACGGCCGUGAAAGAAACCCUUCGACCUCUUGUAAUUACGCGUGACACAUACGAUCGAUACCAGCUGUGCUAUUUCGACCGUUCACCGAAAUGGAAUGAAAGAAUUUCUCUUAAUUUCUUCAUCAAAGAAAUGUUCCUUUUCGAAGAGCGAGUAUAAUUAACGUGAAGGAUAUAAACUGACGAAUUAACGGAUGCCACAUUACCAGUACUCGUACGGAUAAUUUAAACGCUCAUGCGGAUUCUCUACGCUCGAACAAAUUAUAAACGUUGAUCCCUUUGAGAACCGCUAAAUUAUCGCUUCUCUAUCUAACUUUCCACAGUUUAUUCGGGCACGCGAUCCGUAGAGCAAAGUACUCCGGUUAACGUUUAUUUUAUCAUCUUGUCGACACUUUGGUAGGACAGAGAAAAGACUACGCCGUAUAAAAAUUAAAAAUUAAUGCCGCCGUUGACGGUAUACUCUGAGAAAUGUAACUGCAUUUUUAAAGACGAGAACACGAUGCUGCGUGAACUAUGUAUUUACUGUUAGUCUUCUUUCAUUCUGGAAAUCCCAAAGACGCAAUGCGCGAUUUUACAUGCGACUUAAUGCUCCUUACAAAUUCGAAAUUUGGUAUAAAUAUUCUUCGUCCGACAAGAAGAAAAGUAGAAACGAUAUCAUUAGCUUCGUACUAAUCGAUAUUUCACGGCACGAUUACUCGACUUGCGAUCGACUGGAUUUCAAGUUCGAAGGAGACACGAUAAUUAUGUCACGUAGCAGUAAGUAGGUGGAUCGUAUUUCAGAUAAUUAUAUGUAUGCGUUCGAGGCGAAAGAUCCCAGCGUUUGGAGAUCGUACGACGACGACAAGAAAAGACAGGCUAAUUACAGGAGAAGGAUUAAAAGAAAAGAAAAAAAUAAAUUAUGCGCUGAAUUAACAGUCACGUGUCAUUAUUUAAAAUAUUCCACACGAUGAAGGAAAGCGAAAAAGAGAAGCUACCUUCUUUAAUUUAUUUUAUAUUUCUUUUGCGAUACUUUCACGUUGCAAAAUUCGAUCAUAAAUUUAUUAGUCGAUGUUUCUUAUUAGAUAUAAUCUUAUAAUUAAAGUUUAUAAAUAAGAAAGCUCUCCUAAGCUCUAAUCGUAAUAAUAAUGCAAGAGAUUAACGAGAGUUUAUAUAGCACGACGAAAGGCGUUAGAAACUCACCCGACUCGUUAAAGCAUCAUCAUCCUAGAGAUAGUUCACAGCUUUCAGUUAUGAUCGAAAUUUUGAAAAGAGCUUUGAUCUUGAUUCUUCCCAUAGAGAUUCGCGUUUUUGAACGUUCUUCCUCGCAUAUUCCAUACCGGAGGGAGAUGGAACGAUGAAAAGACAUUGCGAGAUCCACGAUUUACACCAAGGAGAAUGAGAAGAAUGAAAAAGAAAGGAAGAAAGGAAGAAAGAAAGAAAGAGAGAAAGCAAGCGAAAGGAGAACUUUGAUAGUUGUAGAAUCGAAGCUCUGUUCGUUCGUUCGUUCGACGAAGAGACGCUCGUAAAGCUUGCGUUUACAGUCGAGAAAGAGCCACUCGAGAAGCUCCUUGGAGUCACUCGUUAAGUUCAUUAAUGUGGAAAAAGGAAAACGAGAUCGGUCUUUACUUUUCGUGUCGCCUAAGGAAGUGCAGGAGGAAGAAGACGAAGGAUGCAAUAGAGUUAGGUCGAGAUAUUUACUCAGGUCCUGAACACGAUUCCUUUUUAAUCAUUUCUCUUUGCUAUCCCUUUGGACCACGAUGAGAAAUGAUAAGAGACCUCGACAGUUCCCUUCCAAGCGUAUUUACUGUAUUAUCACUACAUCUUGCAACGUCUAUUAUUUGCCGGAAAGCGAAAGGAGAACACGAGGAGGAGGAGGAGGAGAAGGAAGAGGAGAAAAAGGAAAACAAAGAAGAUGAAGAAGGAGCAGAAGAGAUCGUCGAGAUUUUAAGACAAGAUUCAAGACGUUGCUUUCUCCGUCGUCGUCGUCGUCGUCGUCGUCGUGGUCGUCGUCGUCGUGGUCGUCGUCGUCGUGAUCGUUAAAACUUAUACCGUAGCUUACCGCAACUAGUAGGAAAUACAUUCUAAAAGCGAUUAAAGGAAAAUGUAUAUUCCCUGGAUAAGAUUUCGAGAAGAAAUGGAAAAGUGGAGGAGGAGGAGAAGGAAGAGGAAAAAACGAUGAAAGGAAGGAAAUAUUUUUUGAGGAGUUGCUACUUCUCGAUUGUUUUACCACGUCCAAGCAUUCUUCAUCGAACUGGAACGAAGAUUUUCUCUCUUUUUAUAUCUCUUUCGUUUAGGGAUCAAAAGAUUAGUGGUUUGUGAUGAUGAACGCGCGGAAAUAACACACGCUAAAUCCGUCAAAUAGUAAAAAGCUGCGCAACAAGAUUUGGCCUCUUCGCGUGAAAACGCUACAACCCUUUUUAAGAUGCCACUUCCCACGGUCAUUAAAACUUGCGAAGGCGACACGAACAAUACCCACGAUGCACGUUGAAAAAUUGCGAGAAAAUCACCGACGUUCCUCUCUUCGUCAUCGCGUGCCAUGUCACGAACAUUCUUUUGAGAAUCGAUUAAUCUUAAUAAACCGUUGCUAAAUAUGCGA
Molecule: long non-coding RNA, 3193 nt
Organism: Vespa velutina
Lineage: Eukaryota; Metazoa; Arthropoda; Insecta; Hymenoptera; Vespidae
Exons: 2
Source: RefSeq, a predicted model, not a curated record